Molecule: long non-coding RNA, 1414 nt
Organism: Macadamia integrifolia
Lineage: Eukaryota; Viridiplantae; Streptophyta; Magnoliopsida; Proteales; Proteaceae
Exons: 2
Source: RefSeq, a predicted model, not a curated record
UUAGGCAUCGGAGCCUCAUGCCUCAUACACCGGAGCUCCCCUUGGUGGACACUCUCUUGCUGUUGUGCGCAGGUCUGAGCUAAGCCGAAUUCUACAGCAACAAUCUACUAUUCCUUAAAAAAUGUUUUUUUUAGGCAAUUCUUUGUGGAGUGGAGGGAGAAAUAUGUCUACUUACUUGGGAUAUAUUUUUUAUUUUUUGUAUAUUAUUGGUGAUUACAUUUUAUUUAUCACAGGAGUGCUGACAAUUUGUUUGGCUGAAUUUUUUUAUCAGUUGAUCUCUAUUGUUUGGCAAUUGAGUCUUGGAACUAUUUUUACAUCGACAUGAAUUUGAAUUGAACGCAUUAUUUGCAAUGAAUGUGAUGGGAAUAAAUUAUUGGCUAAAAGGUCGCAGCGCUGCCUUUUGGACGCUACAAUGAAUCUCAACUGUAAAUUUGGUUUUAAUGAAUUUGAGAGAGAUUUAUUACUUUCACCGAAAGGUAAACAUCUUCGCCUUGGAUGAUCCUUGCCUGAUGACCCCAACAUCUAUGAUUUUUCCGAAAUAUGCGUCGCAACUAACAACCUCCUGGCCAAACGCUACUCCACUCCAUCGGCUACCUGGCGUUGCUCCCUCCACGACAAGGACGUCAUCGUCUUCCAGCGCAUGUUGCGACACUCCAUAGAACAUUCCAGGCUCCGCAAACAGCUAUCCUCUCCAACUGGAUGUCGCUAAUGUAGGUGGCCAUCGAUAUCGCCAAAGGGCUCGAUUACAUCCACAAUUCAUUUGAGUUGAAUCAGAAUUUCGUCCACAACCAUAUCAAGAGUACCGGCGUGAUCAUCACAGAUCAACACACGAUUCAUGCGAGGUUCAUUUCGGCAUGAGAACUCUGCGGAGAGAUCCCGAAAUCCUCGUCGUCGUUUUUGUCGAAAUUGAAGAGAGCAAAGUCGGAGCGUGAGAUUCGAAGGUACCAGAGGUUACAUGUCGCCUGAAUUUCAGGCGACCGGGAUCGGAACUCAAUAAUCCGACGUGUUUGCUUUUGGGGUUGUGCUCUUGGAACUGAUAUCGGGAGACGAGGCCUUGAGGUACAGAUUGGAUGGGGAGAAGAAGGAUUACAGAAGAGUCUCACUGAUCGAGACGGCUAGGGAAGCAAUGGAGGAGGAGGAAGAGGGUAAAAUUAAUGGAGAUAUUGCUUCAUUAGUACUUCAGUCAGAAUACUUGAAGAUCACAGAGGAGUGAAUGAAAACUAUUUAGUCUUAUAGCAAGAACAAUCCUCCUUUGAAGAGUAGCAGUCUAAAUAUUGCUCUUAAGUUCAAAGCUUGUGAUUCUUGGUUUCAGAGGAACCUCUAAUGGUUUCCUGAAGUUUCCCUUUCUUGAUGAUCUUCUCACAAUUUGUACCUUUUAAGGAGUUCUACUUAAAAGUUAUUGGAAUCUUAUUCA